Molecule: non-coding RNA, 72 nt
Organism: Aedes albopictus (Asian tiger mosquito)
Lineage: Eukaryota; Metazoa; Arthropoda; Insecta; Diptera; Culicidae
Source: Rfam
GCGUCGGUGGUGUAGUGGUAAGCGUGGUUGCCUCUCACCCCAGUCGGUCUAGGUUCAAUCCUAGUCGACGCC